Molecule: unclassified non-coding RNA, 387 nt
Filed under: Hevea brasiliensis (rubber tree)
Lineage: Eukaryota; Viridiplantae; Streptophyta; Magnoliopsida; Malpighiales; Euphorbiaceae
Source: RNAcentral
CGAAAAUUUUAAUAUUUUGUCAUAUAAUUUUGAUUACAAUACUUUUUUUUUAAAUUUUAAAAUUUAUUUUUAUCAAUCAAGAGGACAAUCUAAAGGAGAAAAUCAUUAGCUUUUAAGCAAAAAAAUAGAGCAAGAGAAAGCAAAGUAUCUAGUUCAACAAAAACCUUACAAUAACUAAUUUUGAACAACAGUACUUUAGACCACAAUAAUAUAAUAAUAAUAAAUUUUCUGUAAAAAUUAUUAUUCCCCUUUCCUUGGGCAAUCAAAUCUGGGGACAAGCGCUGCUCCAACCAAGCUAAUCUUAAUCUCUAGUCCUUCAUUCCUCCUCCUCUUCCUCUUCUUUUUCUCAGGGAAACUGGAAGUGGUGGGAUGCUCUGUUCAUGCCUG